GGAUCAGUGGCGAACGGGUGAGUAACACGUGGGCAAUCUGCCCUGCACUCUGGGACAAGCCCUGGAAACGGGGUCUAAUACCGGAUAACACCUUCUCCCGCAUGGGGGUUGGUUAAAAGCUCCGGCGGUGCAGGAUGAGCCCGCGGCCUAUCAGCUUGUUGGUGGGGUAAUGGCCUACCAAGGCGACGACGGGUAGCCGGCCUGAGAGGGCGACCGGCCACACUGGGACUGAGACACGGCCCAGACUCCUACGGGAGGCAGCAGUGGGGAAUAUUGCACAAUGGGCGAAAGCCUGAUGCAGCGACGCCGCGUGAGGGAUGACGGCCUUCGGGUUGUAAACCUCUUUCAGCAGGGAAGAAGCGCAAGUGACGGUACCUGCAGAAGAAGCACCGGCUAACUACGUGCCAGCAGCCGCGGUAAUACGUAGGGUGCGAGCGUUGUCCGGAAUUAUUGGGCGUAAAGAGCUCGUAGGCGGUCUGUCGCGUCGGAUGUGAAAGCCCGGGGCUUAACCCCGGGUCUGCAUUCGAUACGGGCAGACUAGAGUGUGGUAGGGGAGAUCGGAAUUCCUGGUGUAGCGGUGAAAUGCGCAGAUAUCAGGAGGAACACCGGUGGCGAAGGCGGAUCUCUGGGCCAUUACUGACGCUGAGGAGCGAAAGCGUGGGGAGCGAACAGGAUUAGAUACCCUGGUAGUCCACGCCGUAAACGUUGGGAACUAGGUGUUGGCGACAUUCCACGUCGUCGGUGCCGCAGC
RNAcentral lists this ribosomal RNA (751 nucleotides) under Streptomyces sp. RNAcentral's name for it is "bacterial SSU rRNA". It matches the Rfam family "Bacterial small subunit ribosomal RNA", at positions 89 to 852 of the family's 1533-position model. The record is from RNAcentral. Lineage: Bacteria; Bacillati; Actinomycetota; Actinomycetes; Kitasatosporales; Streptomycetaceae.